AUGGCCCAGACAAACUUACAAUGCAUGGGGAGGGUGGCCGAGGCGUCCUCCCCGGGUCUCCAGGGGCACCCCCUCCGCCGCGGCCCCCGCCCGCCAGCACCACUCACCAGCAUGCCCAGCUGUAUGGCCAGCACGGCCACCCGGGCUUCCAGCUCCGGCUCCCGCUCGGCCUCCCGCAGCGCCCGGGCUCCGCGUGCGUGGCCCAUGUGCCCCAGGCACACCUUGGCGACGUCCAGCCUCUGGGUCUUCACGCACAUGCGCGCCAUGUUCUCCCAGACGGCCUCGCUGAGGCGAAGGACACAGCGCCCCGUGAGCGUCCCGUGCAGCCUCGGGCCCCGCCCAGACUGUGCCCAACAGUGCUGGGGAUGCGGUCCCAGGCUGGUGGCCAGGCUUCGCUCUCCCCCAGCGGGGGGGGGGGGCUGUCCCACCAAGAUGGGGGCGUCUCCUGCUUCACCCUGUUUCUCCACCCCCUCCCAGCACCUCCAUCUGGGGCUGAGCUCCUUGCUGGCCCCCAAACAGAGCCCCUGGGUCUGGGUUCCCGACUCCCAUGAGGACAAGCACGAUGCCCAGGUGGGCCCUGCAUGGAGGCGAGCCCCGGGAUGGGCCAUCGAGCUGCCCUCUGACACCUGGGCAGAGGCUCGGGGCUCGGGGUUGCCCUUGUUUUGAGGUUUCUAGCAUCUCUCCCUUCAUGGCUGACAGCAGGUCCCGGGAUGACCUUGCACCUGGCCAGCCUCCCAGAGAAAGGCUGCUGGCGGAGGGAGGACGUGCUGGGGCCCCUCCACCCAAUGACCCCACGGCCCCGAGGUGCACAGGCCGUGAGUAACUUCUGGGACACCCGCGGUUGGCAGGGCUCUGGACCCGAGAGUCGCGGAGGGCCUCGCCCCUGUGCUGUCAGGAGACCCGAGCAGCGGCCGCCAAAGGAGGCCCCCAUCCGUUUAGGUCCUUAAACGCCCACUAUUUCCACACCCCUCUCCGGCACAGGCGUUAGGUCUCCACCACACGGGGCUGGGAGAAGCCUGUGGGCACGGGCCAUCCCCGAGGGCCGGCCUCUCUGUGGGCAGCUCCACCCCGUGAGGCCUGGGGACAAAAAGUCUAACACGUGGACACCCGCUUGGUCCUGGUCCAGGCCAGCCCGUGGUGUGUGCAGAGCCCAAUGGGCACCGAGGCGCCCUGUCCUCCGAGAAGCUGCCAGAACCGGUCCCAGAGGCUCCUCGUUUGGGCUGCUCCGCAGGGCAGCAGGGGGUGAUUCACAGCCGCACUCGUAGCUCCUCCAGACCUCCCUUGAGCCUCGGCUCUAAGAUGACACUCCCUCCCGCGGUCCAGGUGCAGGGGGAAGUGCACGCGGGCUUGGCCCCUGAACCCCCGGCAGAGCUGAAGACCCGGCCCCCGGAGGCAGGCAGGGCCCCUGGGGUGGCCCAGGGUGGACGACUCGGUGUCUGCGCCCAGGCCUGUGCCGGAUGGAGCUGGUGGGAGGCUGCUCCCGGACCAGCAAAGCAGGGACCACGGGUACCGAGACCCCGUGCUGGCUGUUUCGCAAGAAUCAGCUGCUUAAAGACGACUCAGAGUAAGAGACUUAAACCUGCGAGGCAGCAACGCCAGUCUUCCCAUGGAAGCUCUGGGGAAACGCUUUCUGAGGCCGUCAGCGGCGCUGCGUGUGCAGGAACCU
Molecule: long non-coding RNA, 1666 nt
Filed under: Sus scrofa (pig)
Lineage: Eukaryota; Metazoa; Chordata; Mammalia; Artiodactyla; Suidae
Description: lncRNA (ENSSSCG00015024665.1)
Source: RNAcentral